AGGGGAGUAGCUCAAUUGGUAGAGCACCCGGCUCCAAACUGGGCGGCUGCGGGUUCAAGUCCUGUCUCCCCUG
This 73-nucleotide transfer RNA is filed under the name Chloroflexota bacterium. RNAcentral describes it as "tRNA-Trp". It matches the Rfam family "tRNA". Rfam says of the family: Transfer RNA (tRNA) molecules are approximately 80 nucleotides in length. Their secondary structure includes four short double-helical elements and three loops (D, anti-codon, and T loops). Further hydrogen bonds mediate the characteristic L-shaped molecular structure. tRNAs have two regions of fundamental functional importance: the anti-codon, which is responsible for specific mRNA codon recognition, and the 3' end, to which the tRNAs corresponding amino acid is attached (by aminoacyl-tRNA synthetases). tRNAs cope with the degeneracy of the genetic code in two manners: having more than one tRNA (with a specific anti-codon) for a particular amino acid; and 'wobble' base-pairing, i.e. permitting non-standard base-pairing at the 3rd anti-codon position. The record is from RNAcentral. Lineage: Bacteria; Bacillati; Chloroflexota. RNAcentral also lists the same sequence under 1 other name.